AAGACCUUGCGCUUUUGGAGCGGCCGAUGUCUGAUUAGCUAGUUGGUAGGGUAAUGGCCUACCAAAGCUUCGAUCAGUAGCUGGUCUGAGAGGACGACCAGCCACACUGGGACUGAGACACGGCCCAGACUCCUACGGGAGGCAGCAGUGGGGAAUUUUGGACAAUGGGCGCAAGCCUGAUCCAGCCAUGCCGCGUGAGUGAAGAAGGCCUUCGGGUUGUAAAGCUCUUUCAGCCGGGAAGAAAAGGCUACGACGAAUAAUCGUGGCUCAUGACGGUACCGGAAGAAGAAGCACCGGCUAACUACGUGCCAGCAGCCGCGGUAAUACGUAGGGUGCGAGCGUUAAUCGGAAUUACUGGGCCUAAAGGGUGCGCAGGCGGUUUUGUAAGUCAGAUGUGAAAUCCCCGGGCUUAACCUGGGAACU
RNAcentral lists this ribosomal RNA (423 nucleotides) under uncultured bacterium. RNAcentral describes it as "bacterial SSU rRNA". It matches the Rfam family "Bacterial small subunit ribosomal RNA", at positions 207 to 622 of the family's 1533-position model. The record is from RNAcentral.